GACAGAGGGGGCAAGCGUUGCUCGGAAUUACUGGGCGUAAAGCGCACGUAGGCGGAUUGUUAAGUUAGGGGUGAAAUCCCGGGGCUCAACCCCGGAACUGCCUUUAAUACUGGCAAUCUCGAGUCCGAGAGAGGUGAGUGGAAUUCCGAGUGUAGAGGUGAAAUUCGUAGAUAUUCGGAGGAACACCAGUGGCGAAGGCGGCUCACUGGCUCGGUACUGACGCUGAGGUGCGAAAGCGUGGGGAGCAAACAGG
This 253-nucleotide ribosomal RNA is filed under the name uncultured bacterium. RNAcentral describes it as "partial 16S ribosomal RNA". It matches the Rfam family "Bacterial small subunit ribosomal RNA", at positions 524 to 776 of the family's 1533-position model. The record is from RNAcentral.